Molecule: long non-coding RNA, 515 nt
Organism: Folsomia candida
Lineage: Eukaryota; Metazoa; Arthropoda; Collembola; Entomobryomorpha; Isotomidae
Exons: 4
Source: RefSeq, a predicted model, not a curated record
UGGAUUUCACAGUACACGUACAUUUCUCCUUUAAACGAACAUUUCUCCUGCCAACUUGGAGACUAUCAGGAGCCCAAGGGAACCGGGGAGUGGUUCAUGUUUAACAACUUUACAGACGCUUGGACUGGUCGAGUUCUGGUUUUCCCGGCAAAGAUAACCUUCCUUUUCGGAGUUCGGAUGGAUCUGCCUACUUGAACGCGGAUGCUGUCACAUCACUUGUCCCAACAAUACCCGACCCAAAACUAUUUAAUUUUUCCAUUACACUGGGCAUCCCGUACUAUGUAAUUGCUACCGACUACACGACCUACACGGUGGAAUGGGCCUGUAGUCAGGUUGGAUUAAUCAAUUUCCAAUUUAUUUGGAUUUUGUCCCGCGGCCUGCCAUUCACAGACGACACAUUUAGAAAUGUCACCAAGCAGAUCAGAGCGAAAGGAAUUAGCACGAAUUGGCUUGAAAAGUGCGACACAAGUGGGUGUGCCAAUUCAGGGGAUGCGAUUUAGCAGGAUGGCAAAUGA